UUAUUUUACCUUUAAAGCUGAUUCUCACUGAUUGGUAAGCAUUAAAAUGCAUUGAUCUACAAAUGGAUACAGGCCCACAUGAUAAUUUGGAACUUCUUUGUUAACUGAUUAUCAGAGGAAGAUGAGCCUUCCUGCUUUUUUUGUUCCCAUUUUGCAUCUCAGCUUUGAAUAAAUCAGUCAUUACAUCAAACUAGCUGAAUAUACUGAAAUAAAGGAAGAUAUUAUUCUGUACCUGCAGUGGAGGCUGUGGCUUUCAGCAGCUGUUUUUCAUCAAAUUCUUGUCACUGGUGCUUAGCUCAUGACUUCUGUCAGUUCAGUAGUUUGGUUGAGUGGAUUUAAAAUCUGAGCAGCAAAUGUGUUGUCCAUAUCUUGUUUUUAUUUCAUUUAAAUGCUUGCUUGACUCUUUUAAAAAUGUGGACAUUAAUAUAGGUAGCUGUAUUUUUAUUUAGUAGUAGAAGUGUUUUUCAAAUAAGCCAGUUUAAUCUUUAAAAAAAAGAUAUGAUUUACAUUUAAGAAAGAAGAAAAGCAUGCCUGCCUUGGUAUGAGCUUACA
Molecule: long non-coding RNA, 552 nt
Organism: Gavialis gangeticus (Gharial)
Lineage: Eukaryota; Metazoa; Chordata; Crocodylia; Gavialidae
Exons: 2
Source: RefSeq, a predicted model, not a curated record